Molecule: unclassified non-coding RNA, 409 nt
Filed under: Cryptococcus sp. C70
Lineage: Eukaryota; Fungi; Basidiomycota; Tremellomycetes; Tremellales; Cryptococcaceae
Description: sequence contains ITS1, 5.8S rRNA gene, ITS2
Rfam family: 5.8S ribosomal RNA (bases 111-264)
Source: RNAcentral
UGGGUUCAAUGUGUGCCUUCUCUUCGGAGUUGGCCAUCCACACACACCGUGAACUGUGGCUUCGGCCAUCACAAACUAUUAGUAAUGAAUGUAAUAUCAUAACAAAAUAAAACUUUUAACAACGGAUCUCUUGGCUCUCGCAUCGAUGAAGAACGCAGCGAAAUGCGAUAAGUAAUGUGAAUUGCAGAAUUCAGUGAAUCAUCGAAUCUUUGAACGCACCUUGCGCCCUUUGGUAUUCCGAAGGGCAUGCCUGUUUGAGUGUCAUGAAACCUCACUCCACUUGGGUUUUUGCCUGAGUGGUAGUGUAUUGGGUGUUGCCUUGCCAAAGGCUCGCCUUAAAAGAAUAAGCACCUUGGAUGUAAUACGUUUCAUCCUUCUGGGUGGCUAAUAACCCCACAUAUCUCAUGAU